RNAcentral lists this transfer RNA (67 nucleotides) under Foraminitermes rhinoceros. RNAcentral's name for it is "tRNA-Arg". The record is from RNAcentral. Lineage: Eukaryota; Metazoa; Arthropoda; Insecta; Blattodea; Termitidae.
AAGUGAGAAGCAAAACUUGCAAUCAGUUUCGACCUGAUCUUAGAUAAAACAACUUUAUCCUCUCUUU